GAUGAAGAACGCAGCGAAAUGCGAUAAGUAGUGUGAAUUGCAGAAUUCAGUGAAUCAUCGAAUCUUUGAACGCACAUUGCGCCCCUUGGUAUUCCAUGGGGCAUGCCUGUUCGAGCGUCAUUUGUACCUUCAAGCUCUGCUUGGUGUUGGGUGUUUGUCUCGCCUCUGCGUGUAGACUCGCCUCAAAACAAUUGGCAGCCGGCGUAUUGAUUUCGGAGCGCAGUACAUCUCGCGCUUUGGACUCAUAACGACGACGUCCAAAAGUACAUUUUUACACUCUUGACCUCGGAUCAGGUAGGGAUACCCGCUGAACUUAAGCAUAUCAAUAAGCGGAGGA
Molecule: unclassified non-coding RNA, 337 nt
Filed under: soil metagenome
Description: partial contains 5.8S ribosomal RNA, internal transcribed spacer 2, and large subunit ribosomal RNA
Rfam family: 5.8S ribosomal RNA (bases 1-120)
Source: RNAcentral